RNAcentral lists this transfer RNA (66 nucleotides) under Prochlorococcus marinus. It matches the Rfam family "tRNA". Rfam says of the family: Transfer RNA (tRNA) molecules are approximately 80 nucleotides in length. The record is from RNAcentral. Lineage: Bacteria; Bacillati; Cyanobacteriota; Cyanophyceae; Synechococcales; Prochlorococcaceae. RNAcentral also lists the same sequence under 6 other names.
GGGCGUAGUUUAGUGGUAAAACCUCAGCCUUCCAAGCUGAUGAUGCGGGUUCGAUUCCCGCCGCCC